CCUACGGGUGGCUGCAGUGGGGAAUAUUGGACAAUGGGCGAAAGCCUGAUCCAGUCAUGCCGCGUGUGUGAAGAAGGCCUUCGGGUUGUAAAGCACUUUCAGUGGGGAAGAAAGCCUUGGGGCUAAUACCCUCGAGGAAGGACAUCACCCACAGAAGAAGCACCGGCUAACUCCGUGCCAGCAGCCGCGGUAAUACGGAGGGUGCGAGCGUUAAUCGGAAUUACUGGGCGUAAAGCGCGCGUAGGCGGUCUGAUAAGCCGGUUGUGAAAGCCCCGGGCUCAACCUGGGAACGGCAUCCGGAACUGUCAGGCUAGAGGGCAGGAGAGGAAGGUAGAAUUCCCGGUGUAGCGGUGAAAUGCGUAGAGAUCGGGAGGAAUACCAGUGGCGAAGGCGGCCUUCUGGACUGACACUGACGCUGAGGUGCGAAAGCGUGGGUAGCAAACAGGAUUAGAUACCCCAGUAGUC
This 465-nucleotide ribosomal RNA is filed under the name Vreelandella stevensii. Its description in RNAcentral is "partial 16S ribosomal RNA". It matches the Rfam family "Bacterial small subunit ribosomal RNA", at positions 338 to 795 of the family's 1533-position model. Lineage: Bacteria; Pseudomonadati; Pseudomonadota; Gammaproteobacteria; Oceanospirillales; Halomonadaceae. The record is from RNAcentral.